CUGCGUACCUUUUGUAUAAUGGGUCAGCGACUUAUAUUCUGUAGCAAGGUUAACCGAAUAGGGGAGCCGGAGGGAAACCGAGUCUUAACCGGGCGUUAAGUUGCAGGGUAUAGACCCGAAACCCGGUGAUCUAGCCAUGGGCAGGUUGAAGGUUGGGUAACACUAACUGGAGGACCGAACCGACUAAUGUUGAAAAAUUAGCGGAUGACCUGUGGCUGGGGGUGAAAGGCCAAUCAAACCGGGAGAUAGCUGGUUCUCCCCGAAAGCUAUUUAGGUAGCGCCUCGUGAACUCAUCUCCGGGGGUAGAGCACUGUUUCGGCUAGGGGGCCAUCCCGGCUUACCAACCCGAUGCAAACUGCGAAUACCGGAGAAUGUUAUCACGGGAGACACACGGCGGGUGCUAACGUCCGUCGUGAAGAGGGAAACAACCCAGACCGCCAGCUAAGGUCCCAAAGUCAUGGUUAAGUGGGAAACGAUGUGGGAAGGCCCAGACAGCCAGGAUGUUGGCUUAGAAGCAGCCAUCAUUUAAAGAAAGCGUAAUAGCUCACUGGUCGAGUCGGCCUGCGCGGAAGAUGUAACGGGGCUAAACCAUGCACCGAAGCUGCGGCAGCGACACUCAGGUGUUGUUGGGUAGGGGAGCGUUCUGUAAGCCUGCGAAGGUGGCCUGUGAGGGUUGCUGGAGGUAUCAGAAGUGCGAAUGCUGACAUAAGUAACGAUAAAGCGGGUGAAAAGCCCGCUCGCCGGAAGACCAAGGGUUCCUGUCCAACGUUAAUCGGGGCAGGGUGAGUCGACCCCUAAGGCGAGGCCGAAAGGCGUAGUCGAUGGGAAACGGGUUAAUAUUCCCGUACUUGGUGUUACUGCGAAGGGGGGACGGAGAAGGCUAUGUUGGCCGGGCGACGGUU
This 902-nucleotide ribosomal RNA is filed under the name Salmonella enterica. Its description in RNAcentral is "partial 23S ribosomal RNA". It matches the Rfam family "Bacterial large subunit ribosomal RNA", at positions 597 to 1503 of the family's 2925-position model. Lineage: Bacteria; Pseudomonadati; Pseudomonadota; Gammaproteobacteria; Enterobacterales; Enterobacteriaceae. The record is from RNAcentral.